UACUGACUAAUGAGGGAAGCUGAUGGUGUAGGGUGUGAGUAAGAGUGACAGUGAUUGGUCGGCCUUGGUUCUCUACGCCUAGGCGGGAGCCCCUGGGGGCGGAGACAGCGCCUGGGGGGCCUAGUGCAGUAGAGUGGUAACAAGAUGGCGACGGAGACGGUGGAGCUUCAUAAGCUGAAGCUUGCUGAACUGAAGCAAGAAUGUCUAGCUCGUGGUUUAGAGACCAAGGGAAUAAAACAAGAUCUCAUCAACAGACUUCAGGCUUAUCUAGAAGAGCAUGCUGAAGAGGAGGCAAAUGAAGAAGAUGUACUGGGAGAUGAAACAGAGGAAGAAGAACCAAAGCCAAUAGAAUUGCCUGUCAAAGAGGAAGAGCCCCCUGAAAAAAGUGUUGAUGUGGCAGCAGAGAAGAAAGUGGUAAAAAUUACUUCUGAAAUACCACAGACUGAGAGAAUGCAGAAGAGGGCUGAACGAUUCAAUGUACCUGUGAGCUUGGAGAGUAAAAAAGCUGCUCGUGCAGCUAGAUUUGGGAUUUCUUCAGUUCCAGCAAAAGGUCUGUCAUCUGACAUGAAGCCUGUGGUUAACCUGGAUAAGCUAAAGGAAAGAGCUCAGAGAUUUGGUUUGAAUGUCUCUUCAAUCUCCAGAAAGUCUGAAGAUGAUGAGAAGCUGAAAAAGAGGAAGGAGCGAUUUGGGAUUGUCACAAGUUCAGCUGGAACUGGAACUACAGAGGAUACAGAGGCAAAGAAAAGGAAAAGAGCAGAGCGUUUUGGAAUUGCCUGAUGAAAAUUUCCAAAUGCUUUCUGUUCUCCAGUGUUUUCCAUUUAUCCAGUUCUUCUUGGCCACAUAUAUAUAUAUACCUUAAACGCACAGUCAUGUGCCCACGUCCUGCCUCGCACUGAGGGAGCAUGUACCCCAGGUUCAAGUGCUGGAUUGUGUCAUGUGACCAUCCCAAAACUCAGAGCACCCUAUGGCCAUCUUUGCCCUCUGUCACAUAACUUGAAAACUGCCUGAUGGCCUUUUUGCAGUGGUUCCCUCCAGGAAGCCUUGAUCUCAGUGAAGAAGUCCUUUCCCGGCAUUCCAGUGCCCCUGGCAGCCCCAUACUCCUCAGACACCCUUAACAAAGGCAAUCACACACACAAUGUAACCAAUACACAAAGUAAAUAAUAAUUACACUAAUGAUAUGUUUGAGGGGCACUGGCCAGGUCCACACACAUCAUAAGGUGGGAGGGGGUGC
Molecule: RNA transcript, 1231 nt
Organism: Tupaia belangeri chinensis (Chinese tree shrew)
Lineage: Eukaryota; Metazoa; Chordata; Mammalia; Scandentia; Tupaiidae
Gene: SARNP
Gene name: SAP domain containing ribonucleoprotein
Exons: 12
Source: RefSeq, a predicted model, not a curated record